This 497-nucleotide ribosomal RNA is filed under the name uncultured bacterium. Its description in RNAcentral is "partial 16S ribosomal RNA". It matches the Rfam family "Bacterial small subunit ribosomal RNA", at positions 28 to 507 of the family's 1533-position model. The record is from RNAcentral.
GACGAACGCUGGCGGCGUGCCUAAUACAUGCAAGUAGAACGCUGAAGAGAGGAGCUUGCUCUUCUUGGAUGAGUUGCGAACGGGUGAGUAACGCGUAGGUAACCUGCCUUGUAGCGGGGGAUAACUAUUGGAAACGAUAGCUAAUACCGCAUAACAAUGGAUGACACAUUUCAUUUAUUUGAAAGGGGCAAUUGCUCCACUAAAAGAUGGACCUGCGUUGUAUUAGCUAGUAGGUGAGGUAAUGGCUCACCUAGGCGACGAUACAUAGCCGACCUGAGAGGGUGAUCGGCCACACUGGGACUGAGACACGGCCCAGACUCCUACGGGAGGCAGCAGUAGGGAAUCUUCGGCAAUGGGGGCAACCCUGACCGAGCAACGCCGCGUGAGUGAAGAAGGUUUUCGGAUCGUAAAGCUCUGUUGUAAGUCAAGAACGGGUGUGAGAGUGGAAAGUUCACACUGUGACGGUAGCUUACCAGAAAGGGACGGCUAACUACGUG